RNAcentral lists this ribosomal RNA (467 nucleotides) under uncultured bacterium. Its description in RNAcentral is "partial 16S ribosomal RNA". It matches the Rfam family "Bacterial small subunit ribosomal RNA", at positions 29 to 507 of the family's 1533-position model. The record is from RNAcentral.
ACGCACGCUGGCGGCGUGCUUAACACAUGCAAGUCGAACGGAAAGGCCCUGCUUUUGUGGGGUGCUCGAGUGGCGAACGGGUGAGUAACACGUGAGUAACCUGCCCUUGACUUUGGGAUAACUUCAGGAAACUGGGGCUAAUACCGGAUAGGAGCUCCUGUUGCAUGGUGGGGGUUGGAAAGUUUCGGCGGUUGGGGAUGGACUCGCGGCUUAUCAGCUUGUUGGUGGGGUAGUGGCUUACCAAGGCUUUGACGGGUAGCCGGCCUGAGAGGGUGACCGGCCACAUUGGGACUGAGAUACGGCCCAGACUCCUACGGGAGGCAGCAGUGGGGAAUAUUGCACAAUGGGCGGAAGCCUGAUGCAGCAACGCCGCGUGCGGGAUGACGGCCUUCGGGUUGUAAACCGCUUUCGCCUGUGACGAAGCGUGAGUGACGGUAAUGGGUAAAGAAGCACCGGCUAACUACGUG